UACGGGGGGGGCAAGCGUUGUUCGGAAUUACUGGGCGUAAAGGGCGCGUAGGCGGCCUGCUAAGUCGGACGUGAAAUCCCUCGGCUCAACCGGGGAACUGCGUCCGAUACUGGUGGGCUCGAAUCCGGGAGAGGGAUGUGGAAUUCCAGGUGUAGCGGUGAAAUGCGUAGAUAUCUGGAGAAACACCGGUGGCGAAGGCGGCAUCCUGGACCGGUAUUGACGCUGAUGCGCGAAAGCCAGGGGAGCAAACGGG
This 253-nucleotide ribosomal RNA is filed under the name uncultured bacterium. Its description in RNAcentral is "partial 16S ribosomal RNA". It matches the Rfam family "Bacterial small subunit ribosomal RNA", at positions 524 to 776 of the family's 1533-position model. The record is from RNAcentral.